ACUCCUACGGGAGGCAGCAGUGGGGAAUAUUGCACAAUGGGCGGAAGCCUGACGCAGCAACGCCGCGUGGGGGAUGACGGCCUUCGGGUUGUAAACCUCUUUCGCGAUCGACGAAGCUCGUACUUCUGGUACGGGUGACGGUAGGUCGAGAAGAAGCACCGGCCAACUACGUGCCAGCAGCCGCGGUAAUACGUAGGGUGCGAGCGUUGUCCGGAAUUAUUGGGCGUAAAGAGCUCGUAGGCGGUGUGUCGCGUCGGCCGUGAAAACCUGGGGCUUAACUCUGGGCGUGCGGUCGAUACGGGCAUCACUGGAGUUCGGCAGGGGAGACUGGAAUUCCUGGUGUAGCGGUGAAAUGCGCAGAUAUCAGGAGGAACACCGGUGGCGAAGGCGGGUCUCUGGGCCGAUACUGACGCUGAGGAGCGAAAGCAUGGGUAGCGAACAGGAUUAGAUACCCUGGUAGCGAGUAG
RNAcentral lists this ribosomal RNA (467 nucleotides) under uncultured bacterium. RNAcentral describes it as "bacterial SSU rRNA". It matches the Rfam family "Bacterial small subunit ribosomal RNA", at positions 335 to 802 of the family's 1533-position model. The record is from RNAcentral.